Molecule: ribosomal RNA, 841 nt
Filed under: uncultured bacterium
Lineage: Bacteria
Description: bacterial SSU rRNA
Rfam family: Bacterial small subunit ribosomal RNA
Source: RNAcentral
AGCGAGCGUAUUAGCGGAAGUUUUCGGAUGGAAGCGGAUAUGACUUAGCGGCGGACGGGUGAGUAACGCGUGGAUAACCUGCCUCAUACAGGGGGAUAACAGUUAGAAAUGCCUGCUAAUACCGCAUAAGCGCACAGGACCGCAUGGUCCGGUGUGAAAAACUCCGGUGGUAUGGGAUGGAUCCGCGUCUGAUUAGCUGGUUGGUGAGGUAACGGCCCACCAAGGCGACGAUCAGUAGCCGACCUGAGAGGGUGGCCGGCCACAUUGGGACUGAGACACGGCCCAAACUCCUACGGGAGGCAGCAGUGGGGAAUAUUGCACAAUGGGGGAAACCCUGAUGCAGCAACGCCGCGUGAGUGAAGAAGUAUUUCGGUAUGUAAAGCUCUAUCAGCAGGGAAGAAGAAAGACGGUACCUGACUAAGAAGCCCCGGCUAACUACGUGCCAGCAGCCGCGGUAAUACGUAGGGGGCAAGCGUUAUCCGGAUUUACUGGGUGUAAAGGGAGCGUAGACGGCUGUGCAAGUCUGAAGUGAAAGCCCGUGGCUCAACCGCGGAACUGCUUUGGAAACUGUAUAGCUUGAGUACUGGAGAGGCAGGCGGAAUUCCUAGUGUAGCGGUGAAAUGCGUAGAUAUUAGGAGGAACACCAGUGGCGAAGGCGGCCUGCUGGACAGAAACUGACGUUGAGGCUCGAAAGCGUGGGGAGCAAACAGGAUUAGAUACCCCUGGUAGUCCACGCGGUAAACGAUGAAUGCUAGGUGUUGGGGAGCAAAGCUCUUCGGUGCCGUCGCAAACGCAGUAAGCAUUCCACCUGGGGAGUACGUUCGCAAGAAUGAAACUCAAA